Molecule: ribosomal RNA, 1971 nt
Filed under: human gut metagenome
Description: bacterial LSU rRNA
Rfam family: Bacterial large subunit ribosomal RNA
Source: RNAcentral
GAUUAAGGGCGCGCGGUGGAUGCCUAGGCUCUCGGAGGCGAAGAAGGACGCGAUAAGCCGCGAUAGUCCACGGCGAGGUGCAAGUAACCCUUGACCCGUGGGUUUCCGAAUGGGGCAACCCGGCCGUCUAGAUGACGGUCAUGCAUUAUCAUGCAGGCGAACGCGGGGAACUGAAACAUCUCAUUACCCGCAGGAGAAGAAAACAAAAUGUGAUUCCCCCAGUAGUGGCGAGCGAACGGGGAAGAGCCCAAACCGCUGCCGUUUCGGCGACAGCGGGGUCAUGGGACCGCGAGAUUCGACGGAAGACGAAGUGCAAUUACCUGGAAAGGUAAGCCGUGGAGGGUGAUAGCCCCGUGCACGACACCUCUUUCUUAGAUAGCGGUAUCCCGAGUAGGGCGGGACACGAGAAAUCCUGCCUGAAUUCGCCAGGACCUCCUGGCAAGGCUAAAUACUCCCGAGAGACCGAUAGUGAACCAGUACCGCGAGGGAAAGGUGAAAAGUACCCCGAGCAGGGGGGUGAAAUAGACCCUGAACCCGCGCGCCUACAAGCGGUCGGAGCCACGCGAUGUGGUGACGGCGUGCCUUUUGCAUAAUGAGCCUACGAGUUAGUCGUCACCAGCGAGGUUAAGGGCUUCAGGCCCGUCAGCCGAAGUGAAAGCGAGCCUUAACAGGGCGUAAAGUUGGUGGCGCUAGACGCGAAACCUUGUGAUCUACCCACGAGCAGGUUGAAGUCGCGGUAACGCGUGAUGGAGGACCGAACCGGUAAACGUUGAAAAGUUUUCGGAUGACUCGCGGGUAGGGGUGAAAGGCCAAUCAAACUGGGAAAUAGCUCGUACUCUCCGAAAUGCAUUUCGGUGCAGCCUGUGAUGUUCUGUUCCAGAGGUAGAGCUACUGGUUGGACGCGAGGGCUUCACCGCCUAUCAAAUCCGGAUAAACUCCGAAUGCUGGAACACGAAAUCAUGGAGUGAGCCCGCGGGUGCUAAGGUCCGCGGACGAGAGGGAAAGAACCCGGACCACCGGCUAAGGUCCCGGAUGGACAGUUAAGUUGAUCAAACGAGGUGGGAUCGCGGAGACAGCUAGGAUGUUGGCUUGGAAGCAGCCAUUCAUUUAAAGAGUGCGUAACAGCUCACUAGUCGAGCGAUCCCGCGUGGAUAAUACACGGGCAUAAAACUGUCAACCGAAGCCGUGGGGUUAGCUUUAUUGCUAACCGGUAGGAGAGCAUUCCUGCCAGCUUUGAAGGUCACCCGCGAGAGUGACUGGAGCGGCAUGAAAAGCAAAUGUAGGCAUAAGUAACGAUAAUGGGGGCGAGAACCCCCCACGCCGCAAGACCAAGGCUUCCCCGGCAAUGUCAAUCAGCCGGGGGUCAGCCGGCCUCUAAGGCUAACCCGAAGGGGGACGCCGACGAGAAACGGGUUAACAUUCCCGUGCUUCUCGUCACCGUGACGCGGUGACGGGGUGAUGAAUGGACCGCGCGCAGACGGAAUAGCGCGUUGAAGGCCGUACCCUUUGAGGGUGGUAGUCAAGCACGCCACCGGAGGCGACAGCCGAUAGUACCUCGAGGCCUCGGCCGAGGGGAUAGCGUCCAGGCAAUUAACCCCCUAGAAAACCCGCUAAACUUCAAGUGACGAGGAACCGUACCGUAAACGGACACACGUGGUCGGGUAGAACAUACCAAGGCGCUCGAGUGAUUCAUGGUCAAGGAACUAGGCAAAAUAGUCCUGUAACUUAGGGAUAAAGGACGCUCUAGUGAUAGAGCCGCAGAGAAAUGGCCCAGGCGACUGUUUACCAAAAACACAUGGCUAUGCCAAAUCGAAAGAUGACGUAUAUGGCCUGACACCUGCCCGGUGCCGGAAGGUUAAGAGGAGAGCUCAUCAGUAAUGAGAAGGUUUGAAUUGAAGCCCCGGUAAACGGCGGCCGUAACUAUAACGGUCCUAAGGUAGCGAAAUUCCUUGUCGGGUAAGUUCCGACCUG